GCUUCACCCUUCCAGCAGUGAGGGGCCUCGAGCUGCUCUCACCAAACGAGGCGCACUGCAGUACCAACAUGCCUGCGCGUCCGGGCCAGUACCGGAUCGCCGGCCGAGGGGAUCCUCCCAGUAGGGCUGCGGGCCGAGUCUCUGCCAUGCCAUGUGGCGGUGGCCAUUGACGGGAACUCGCGUUGGGCGCACGCACGGGGCAUGCCGACGUCGGCCGGGCACGCCGCUUUGCAGCCCGCGCUGGAGGAGACGGUGCGGCUCUCAUGCGACUGGGGAAUCCGCGUGCUCACUAUCUUCGCCUUCUCCCAUCGGAACUGGAACCGUCCCAAGAAGGAGGUUGACUUUGCUAUGGGCGUGUUCAAUCGGUUCAUCCAGGACAUGUCGCCCAGUUUGUUGUGGGAUGGGAUUCGUCUACACAUAAUCGGUGACUUGCCAAGGCUCCCGGCUUAUCUGCAGAAGACUCACAAGGCCGAGGAGGAAACAAGAAGCAACUCACAAACCGACCUGAUGCUAGGUAUCGGCUACAGUGGGCGAGCGAACAUCUUGCAAGCAUGCCAGAAGCUUGCCCAAAAGGCGCACAACAAGCUGCUCAGACCGGAGGACAUCGAUGAGUCACUAUUCGCCGACGAGCUCGAGAUGAGCUGGACAGACGAGUUCCCUUACCCUGACCUACUCAUCAGGACCAGCGGCGAACUCAGGCUCAGCGAAUUCAUGCUUUGGCAGUUGGCUUACACCGAGCUCUUCUUCACCGACGCGCUCGGGCCUGAUUUCGGGGAGGCCGAAUAUCUCGAAGCUCUUAUGUCCUUCCAGAGCAGAGAGAGGCGUUUUGGUAAAAGAAUACUGUAG
RNAcentral lists this ribosomal RNA (846 nucleotides) under Triticum aestivum (bread wheat). Its description in RNAcentral is "partial small subunit ribosomal RNA". The record is from RNAcentral. Lineage: Eukaryota; Viridiplantae; Streptophyta; Magnoliopsida; Poales; Poaceae.